AAACUCUGACAACUUGGGACACCCUGGCAACUUGGGACAAACAUGCGCAUUUGCGGAAGUGGAGUACUCCUCACCUUGGUUUUUAGAUCAGCUGUUUCACUGGCAACUGAUUUUACGUUACAACGUAUCAGCUUUUGCAAACCGCGUUAUUUACGUUUAUACUUCGGGUGGUUUAUUGUUAAUUACCUGUUUUUGAUUCUAAUUUAAAUAGCUAAAAAAAAUACGUCAUUACAACUUUGGUUAUAUUUAGAUAACGAUUUGUGGUAUUUGUUGUUUGGGCUUUAGCCACUAUGCCUGGCUCUCAUAAUACAAAAAGGAGAAAGGUAGGAGCAAGGACUUACCGCAACUUUUCCAAUGAACAGUUGGAAAAAGCCAUAGAUGAAGUGAAAAGUGGAAAAUUGUCCAUAAGAAAUGCGUCUGAGAAGUUUUCCAUCCCCAAAUCAACUAUUGCCAGAAAAGUUAAACAGAAAAAUAUGAAUGAUCCCGGCCAUCCAACAGCACUCACUCAAAAAGAUGAAAAUAUAAUUGUAGAAAAAAUAAUACAAGCUGGAAAAUGGGGUUUCCCAUUUUCCCGUUUAGACAUACAACGAAUUGUUAAAUCAGAGAGGCCGUUACAAGUUUGUUGGAAAUUAGAGGAUUUUUUUUGUUUCAUUCGCAAAUAUUAAUCACUUUUAUUUAGAAUAUAUUCUUAUUUUAUUACAAUAAAUUUGUUGUUUUUUC
This is a long non-coding RNA of Photinus pyralis (common eastern firefly), 720 nucleotides long. RefSeq lists it as uncharacterized. Lineage: Eukaryota; Metazoa; Arthropoda; Insecta; Coleoptera; Lampyridae. The record is from RefSeq and is a predicted model, not a curated record. The transcript is spliced from 2 exons.